This 71-nucleotide transfer RNA is filed under the name Tigriopus californicus. RNAcentral's name for it is "tRNA-Gly for anticodon CCC". It matches the Rfam family "tRNA". Rfam says of the family: Transfer RNA (tRNA) molecules are approximately 80 nucleotides in length. Their secondary structure includes four short double-helical elements and three loops (D, anti-codon, and T loops). Further hydrogen bonds mediate the characteristic L-shaped molecular structure. tRNAs have two regions of fundamental functional importance: the anti-codon, which is responsible for specific mRNA codon recognition, and the 3' end, to which the tRNAs corresponding amino acid is attached (by aminoacyl-tRNA synthetases). tRNAs cope with the degeneracy of the genetic code in two manners: having more than one tRNA (with a specific anti-codon) for a particular amino acid; and 'wobble' base-pairing, i.e. permitting non-standard base-pairing at the 3rd anti-codon position. The record is from Rfam by way of RNAcentral. Lineage: Eukaryota; Metazoa; Arthropoda; Copepoda; Harpacticoida; Harpacticidae.
GCAGCUGUGGUGUAAUGGUAACAUACCUCCCUCCCAAGGAGGUGUCUCGGGUUCGAUCCCCGGCAGCUGCA